Molecule: long non-coding RNA, 1352 nt
Organism: Lineus longissimus
Lineage: Eukaryota; Metazoa; Nemertea; Pilidiophora; Heteronemertea; Lineidae
Exons: 2
Source: RefSeq, a predicted model, not a curated record
UCGAUGAAUCUUUUCCGAGAGUCAAUUUCCAUGAUACACUGUCGCAUGUAGCACAAGACCGUCCUAUUUGGCCCACUUAUCAACAGUCCGGUUCUAGUCUUGAUGAACUCUGCAGUAGCCAAGAAUCAUGUUUAACCUCAAUCGUAUCCUAGUCUUCCGGUUAUUCGUCGUGGCAGUGCUGUGUCUGUGUUUUCUUGUUAUGGUGGACGCCAAAUCGUCAAGAGGAGGUGACCCUGGUUGUUCAGGCAUGAUCUGCAGUUUUUUUCACAGCACAGCAAGCUUCUUCGAACGAGUAGGUUUCCGUCUCACAAUCGACUCCAUCCCGAAGCCUUUAUUGCAGCUUCUUUUACCGCUACAUGGAAAAAUCAUCUCCACACUGCUAUAUUCUAUCAACAUCGUCAGACUGUCAUUGGGGUCUGUGAAAAACCCUGAUCUUGAUCGACAAGUAAAAAUAGUUGAACUAGACUUGCAAAAACUGAAAGCGGUAGAAUAUAUUCUGGAUGAAGAACUUGAAAAAAGUGUUCUGUCCAUUUAUGAGUCGGCAAAGGACAUUGCAUCCCUGGAGAAGUAUGUUACUGGAUUGAUCUACAUAUCGCGUCAACUGGUUGGUGGCUAUGUUGACCAUGAAGGAAAGGUUAGGAGACUGAUAAAAGACACGCAGGAUGAAUACAGCAAGGACUGGCUUAUUUGGAUCGCAGAGAGUAUCUUCGAUGCCUUUGGAGGCGACAGAGAUGAGUUAGAAAUAUCAAAAAGAGUCAAGCCGUUAAUGGAAACGCUUCGAUGGACGUCAAGGAAGAUUUGUAUCCUGAAGGGAUGGGAAGCUUUUAUGAGACUUGCAUUAGAUCACGCCAAAAUGAACCAGGACUUGCAUAUUAAACUGGACACAAUUCUCUCGAAAUGUGAAGUACAUGUAGACAGUUAGUGGACGAGCAAGUCGUUUUCCGCUAUACAACUACAUGUACUUGCUCGAAACCUGUUCCAGAGGCCUUAUGUACAUUACAUGUAUGCAAUAUACUGUAUUUACUAUUGUAAAGCUGCACGUGGAAUGAAAUUGUUUAAUGUGGUCAACUUUAGCUUACUUCCUACAUAUGCAUUUAUUUGCAGGUCUUAGAUUAAUCGUUCGGAGUUGUGGAUAUGCUGCAAUGACGUUGUAGAUUAUUUUUGAUGAAGGUCAUGCUCGCUACAUGUACAUGUAGUUGCAACAAGGAGUACAUGUUCACCAGUGCAUAUUGCUAAUGUACAAUGCAUGUACUUCACUACAUGUACGGACGGAAACAUAUUCUAUUAUAUCCUUCGAAACGAAAAAACUGCGUGAUUCGUUAAUGUAAAAAAUAAAGCACACUAAAAUGUAA